ACUGCAAUUAGUGAACAUCGAUCCCGAUCAAGUCUGAACUUACAUAGCGAUUGAUAUCAGGAUCGAAAUUCGGGUGUACUUGCUGCUUCCGUUUUUAUUAGCUCACCUGAGCCGAAGGCUCAAGUGAGCUUUUCUGAUCACAUUUUGUCCGGCAUCCGUCUGUCUGUCUGUACGUCUGUCUGUCUGUAAACUUUUCACAUUUUCGACUUAUUCUCAGGAACCGCUGGGCCAAUUUCAACCAAACUUGCCACAAAGCAUCCUUGGGUAAAGGGAAUUCAAGUUUGUUCAAAUGAAGGGCCACACCCUCAUUCAAAGGGAGAUAAUUGGGAAGUAAUGAAAAUUUGGUGGUAUGUUUUAAAAAUCUUCUUCUCAAGAACCACUGUGCCGGGAAUGAUGAAACUUACAGGGAAACAUCCUCAGGUAGUGUAGAUUCAAGUUUGUUCAUAUCAUGACCCCCGGGGGUAGGGCGGGGUCACAAUGGCCGACCAAAGUUUUACAUAGAAAUAUAUAGGAAAAUUCUUUAAAAAUCUUCUUCUCAAGAAUAGCAAAGCCAUAAUUGAUCAUAUUUAUAUGGAAGCAUUUUCAGGUAGUGUAGAUUCAAGUUUGUUCAAAUCAUGACCCCCGGGGGUAGGGCGGGGCCACAAUGGCCCACCAAAGUUUAACAUAGACAUAUAUAGGAAAUUUCUUUAAAAAUCUUCUUCUCAAGAAUAACAAAGCCAGAAUUGAUCAUAUUUAUAUGGAAGCAUCCUCAGAUAGUGUAGAUUCAAAUUUGUUCAAAUCAUGACCCCUGGGGGUAGGGCGGGGCCACAAUGGCCGACCAAAUUUUACAUAGAAAUAUAUAGGAAAAUUCUUUAAAAAUCUUCUUCUCAAGAAUAGGAAAGCCAGAAAUUGAUCAUAUUUAUAUGGAAGCAUCCUCAGGUAGUGUAGAUUCAAGUUUGUUCAAAUCAUGACCCCCGGGGGUAGGGCAGGGCCACAAUGGCACACCAAAGUUUUACAUAGAAAUAUAUAGGAAAAUUCUUUAAAAAUCUUCUUCUCAAGAAUAGCAAAGCCAGAAUUGAUCAUAUUUAUAUGGAAACAUCCUCAGGUAGUUUAGAUUCAAGUUUGUUCAAAUCAUGACCCCCGGGGGUAGGGUGGGACCACAAUGGCCGACCAAAGUUUUACAUAGACAUAUAUAGGAAAAUUCUUUAAAAAUCUUCUUCUCAAGAAUAACAAAGCCAUAAUUGAUCAUAUUUAUAUGGAAGCAUUCUCAGGUAGUGUAGAUUCAAGUUUGUUCAAAUCAUGACCCCUGGGGGUAGGGCAGGGCCACAAUGGCCGACCAAAGUUUUACAUAGACAUAUAUAGGAAAAUUCUUUAAAAAUCAUCUUCUUAAGAAUAGCAAAGCCAUGAUUGGUCAUGGGACUACUUUUGGAUUUAAACUUUUCAAUAAUAAACCAAUUUCUACUUUUUCCUAGCCAUAGUGCUCAGGUGAGCGAUGUGGCCCAUGGGCCUCUUGUU
Long non-coding RNA from Saccostrea echinata, 1494 nucleotides. RefSeq lists it as uncharacterized. The record is from RefSeq and is a predicted model, not a curated record. Lineage: Eukaryota; Metazoa; Mollusca; Bivalvia; Ostreida; Ostreidae. The transcript has 2 exons.